RNAcentral lists this ribosomal RNA (422 nucleotides) under uncultured bacterium. RNAcentral describes it as "bacterial SSU rRNA". It matches the Rfam family "Bacterial small subunit ribosomal RNA", at positions 355 to 774 of the family's 1533-position model. The record is from RNAcentral.
UAAGGAAUAUUGGACAAUGGUCGCAAGACUGAUCCAGCCAUGCCGCGUGCAGGAAGACGGCCCUAUGGGUUGUAAACUGCUUUUGUACCAGAGAAAACCUAUCUACGUGUAGAUAGCUGAUAGUAUGGUAAGAAUAAGCAUCGGCUAACUUCGUGCCAGCAGCCGCGGUAAGACGAAGGAUGCAAGCGUUAUCCGGAUUCAUUGGGUUUAAAGGGCGCGUAGGCGGGCUUGUAAGUCAGUGGUGAAAUCUCUCAGCUUAACUGAGAAACUGCCAUUGAUACUGCAGGCCUAGAGUAUAGAUGACGUUGGCGGAAUAUGACAUGUAGUGGUGAAAUACUUAGAUAUGUCAUAGAACACCGAUUGCGAAGGCAGCUAACGAAACUAUAACUGACGCUGAGGCACGAAAGUGCGGGGAUCAAACA